AGGAAUUUACAAAACCAAGGAUCUCAAGAGUGAAAGGAAAUACAAGAAAACUUUACCAAUCUAAGCAGAUCAUGAACCGGCGAGUUUGUCAGCUGAUUU
Syngnathus acus (greater pipefish) is the source of this 99-nucleotide long non-coding RNA. RefSeq lists it as uncharacterized. The record is from RefSeq and is a predicted model, not a curated record. The transcript has 3 exons. NCBI's taxonomy places the organism in Eukaryota, Metazoa, Chordata, Actinopteri, Syngnathiformes, Syngnathidae.